AUACAUACCUGGCCGGGGAGCUACCAUGGUCACGAAGGCAGUUUCCCAAGGCAAGGCUCAUCCACUGCGCUCUGGGUGUGCUGACACCCGGGAGUUUCCCGAACGUGGAAUCUUGGCUGCAUGACUUGUGGUCGCAGACGACUGCAUUCGCGCUCUCCCCAG
Small nuclear RNA from Pteronotus mesoamericanus, 162 nucleotides. RefSeq annotates it as U1 spliceosomal RNA. The transcript has a single exon. The record is from RefSeq and is a predicted model, not a curated record. NCBI's taxonomy places the organism in Eukaryota, Metazoa, Chordata, Mammalia, Chiroptera, Mormoopidae.